RNAcentral lists this transfer RNA (72 nucleotides) under Candidatus Omnitrophota bacterium. Its description in RNAcentral is "tRNA-Cys". It matches the Rfam family "tRNA". From Rfam's summary of the family: Transfer RNA (tRNA) molecules are approximately 80 nucleotides in length. Their secondary structure includes four short double-helical elements and three loops (D, anti-codon, and T loops). The record is from RNAcentral. Lineage: Bacteria; Pseudomonadati; Candidatus Omnitrophota.
GGCGCGGUAGCCAAGUGGCAAGGCGGUGGUUUGCAAAACCAUUAUUCACCGGUUCGAAUCCGGUCCGCGCCU